Corvus hawaiiensis (hawaiian crow) is the source of this 571-nucleotide long non-coding RNA. RefSeq lists it as uncharacterized. The transcript has 3 exons. The record is from RefSeq and is a predicted model, not a curated record. Lineage: Eukaryota; Metazoa; Chordata; Aves; Passeriformes; Corvidae.
GGCCGUGCCCCUCCUCCCGGCUCGGGAACCCCGCGGGCGAGGGCGGCGGGACCGAGCGGCUGCCGGGAGCGGUGCCCGCGCUGUGCCGCGCCCGCGUUACAGCUCUGUGCGCUUCCACACGCCGCGGGGUGUGGGAAACCAGCGUCCUCCGGGCAGGCUGGAGUUUGUUUGAAGGUGUCGCAGAGAAAUCCGUCAAUUUAAGAAAAGUCGCUGCCCUUUCAGCCCCGAGUCAGCUGCCACGGGCGAACUGCUGCGCUCCGAGGCUGCCGUGUGUCAAGUGCGGCACGGCAAUAAGACAAAUAAAGAAUGUGUUCAGCGUUUGCUUUGUACGUUAUCCAUUUCACUGAAUCACAGCGUUAUUCGCACAGAGCUGCCUUGCAGGAGCAGCACAGAAAUCUUGUCCUACGGCCACUGAGAAGUUGGUCCCAGCAGAGAAACAAACAGGCAGAACUUCUGGUCAUGAGUGAGCAAGGAUUUUUUAAAUGAAAAAAUAUAUCCACUAUUAUCAGGUAGCAGUUCAAUACACGGUGGAAUUUAGCAAGCAAGACACAAUUGUCACUGAAGCGCCUGC